CUUACUCCCAAUUAGAUUGUAUUAUAUCGUGUCAUCUUGCAUCCCAACAUCAUAGUUAGUAAAAUAAGUUCUCCUUCUUAGAUCGUUGCCGCUGCUUCAUUUUUCUCGGGAAGCCAGGGGGGAGAGGGGCCCGCCAGCCUACUGCCCCCGUCACGGGCACAGAUCUAUCUAGGUAACUCCGUGACACUCCCUCUAGGAUGGGAUGUGGUCUGAAGAUAGGUGUGACUGGGGAUUCUGCAUGUCUCAUUUCCACAUCUCAACAUCAGCUUGUUCUUUUACAGAGGGCUGGGAGGAGUGGGGUCAGAAGGUCCCACCUGUCUGGAACUGCUUGGCCUGAUCCUGGUGCCCAGUUUCAAUGCUGUCCUGGGGAAUUGCAUCCAUCCUCCUUUCCCCCCUCCUCUGACAGAGCUGCCCUGCUUCAGCUCUGCCGCAGCCCAUCUGGGAACUGCCUGGGUGCAGGCAGAAGGGAGCAGCAGCCUUCCUGCUGCCAGACACUGAGCAGAUGGUUUCAUCCACACCUAGACAAGGCUCUGUCUACUGGGCUGACCUGGGAGGCUAAACAGUUGUGUGAACACAUUCUCUCUGUCACUGCUGGCUUUUCCUGUGCAGCUGUCCCGAGGGACAAAGAGAGGGGUCGGCAUGUGGGAUGGCUGAGCGCGUGGAACACCUUGAUGCCAGCCCAGGUCUGCAGGGACUGAGUGCCAGCAGAGGAGGAAGGUGGACCCAGCUGCUUGCGUAGCAGGGCUCAUUUUGCAGAGGUUGCCAGUCACACACUGACCGCAGUGCUUGACAGCUCCCGAGGGAGGAAGCAAUCUGUGUCAUCUCACAGCGGGCUUCCUUAAAUCUCAGCCUGAUUAAGUGGUGGCAAUAUGGGCUGCCCGAUAUGAAACAGCCAGCUUCCUUCUCUGAAAAGGGCCGAUCGUUAGUACUGAAAUAGCCUGUUAAUUGCGUGCAUUUUCCUGCAGUCAGAGGCCGGUAACACAUGAAAUCACCAGAUUCUGACUUUGUGUGAGUAGAUAUCUGGAGACAACCAGCAUCACAUUGGUUACAAAGCGAGUCUGCCAUGCAUCUGAGAAAGGUGAAUUUGAACACUCUGCGUUUCUUUUCAACAUCAGGGUGUGUGAGAGAUUUGGGAAAUAUCCUCUCAGCUUUUGCCAUCUUGUCUGACCUUGAAAAUACAGUCCUUGUGGUGAGAUAUGGGCUGAAAUACCCUUGGACUGCACGCAGAGAUGGUGAGGCUUGCAAGAAAGCUUUGCUGUAGAAGAAGAGAUGGUGUGGAAGGCCCUUGGAAGGGCCUUUGUGGCAGUGGUUUUCCAUCAGCACAUUUACUGAGAGCUGUAUCACAGUCAGUCUGGAAAGGGAGUUUAAUGCACAGACCACUGUUAAAAAGUGCUGUAAGUAGUUACAUUAGAGAUAUUUAUUCAUUUCAAAGAGAUAAAAGCUUUCUGGGAUCAGUGCAGUCAUCUUAGCUUGUGGCUGUUGUUUUUCUUAGUUUCUUGUGUAUUUUAGAGAUCCAGUUAAUUGUAGGCUGAUGCUCAGAAGAAUACAGCUCAAGCUGAACUGUUUUCUUUAUUUUCCUUUCCCUCCGUUCUCAGACAGCAGUGAGCUGGGGUCUGCCUUGGUAGUGGGUCCUCAGCAUUCGACCUAUAGGAAUAAAAUACUGUCAGCUACGUUUGUGCUGAUACACAGUCAAACAUUAGUGAUUCUCCAGUUUGCAGAGCAGAGAGAUAUGGAGGUAAUGUAAAUGACAGCAUCAAUCCAUUUUGCCUGGUGAACGCUAUGUAGAAGACAUAAAUUAAGAGUUGUCUGCUGGAAUCCUCUGGAGAUGUGAUAUGGGGGCCAUCAGCCUCAGGUGCUGCUUCUUUGUCUGCAGGUUCCCAGUGCUACAGGGAGAAAUGUGGGAUGGCCUUGCCUUGCACACUCCUUAAUUUCAGCAUGCUGGUUAGAAGUGGCGUUAAACUUGGAGACAUUUAUGUGCAACUUUCUACCCGAAAAGCUUUCUUAGAGACCCUGCCAUCUUUUACGGACAUGUUAUAUAGGGAUUUCUUGCUCUCUGUUGGAAGGCAGGAGUCUCAAUGAGUUGGACCCUCUUGAGCAGUGUGGUUAUGCCUCGCAGGGAAGUUAUGACCUCCAGCACAGGGUUGUGCUGAGGAACAGCCUUCAGCAGUUGGGAUCAGAUCUGAAAUAUCUGCUACCGAGGACAUUUUUUUCCUAUGAACUGCCUCUGACUUCCAUGCUACAUAACGAAGCUCCCAGUGCUUGGGGAUGAGCACUUCUACACUGUAAUCUUUGGCCCAGGUCUCCUCUGAGCCCUCUGUAGUGUGCUGAGACACCGUCGGCAGUUGCUGGGGUUUCAGCGGUCCCAGAUUCCUAUGAUUCCGAAGAGGUGUGGAGGCCAAGGAUGAUCUAACUGUUGUUCAGUGAUCUGUCAAUCAUUAGAGGCCGAACUGAUCUCCUUCAAACAAGAGCCUGUGUGCAAAAAAGCUGUACCUGUGGUGUGGACAGACUGUGAGGAUCUAGAAACAAAACAGAGAAGAAAGCUGUGGGCAGUGUAGGCACAUGCAGAGGGAGCUUACUGGGAGCACAACAGUGCCCUUGUACCCUCCAGAGAUAUGAGUUCAAGCCCUACUUCCUACUUCCCAGCAGUGUCUCUUGCCUCCCUGAUGAGCAUUGCCCUGGACUGCUUGGGCUAGUAGGCCUCAGUUUCCAUGGAGAGGUUCAGUUUGGGACCUGAAACUUGUUUUGAUGUAAGGCCUAGGAUUUAGACCAACCUAGUGACCCAAGAAGAAGAACCACUGUCUGCCAGGACCCUCUCCUCUUGGGUCAUGUUUGGGUAAUCUGUUUCAUUCCCCUUAAAGUCUCUCUAGAUCCUGAUGGCAGAUGCUAAUAAUAAUUGCGAUUUAGAAUCAUAGAACAGAAUCAUAGAAUCACUAGGGUUGGAAAAGACCUGUAAGGUAUCUAGUCCAACUGUCCACCUACCACCAAUAUUGCCCACUUAAACAAUGUCCUUAAGUACCACAUCUCCACCCACUGUCAUCUCCUGGUGAUGACUGUCCUUCUGAGGAAGCCUUUGAUUGCUGUGAUCCUGUUUGAACUGUUCAGUAUCUGAUGGGUCUUCCUCUCCCCAGCCUAUUCUAGAAGCUGAUAAUCCUCUCCCCCCAGUAACAUCUUUUAAUAGUCCUCUUCUCCCCUUUCCUAGUAUGAGUGUCACCCUGCUCUGAUCAUGUCUCUCUCAGCCUCCUCUUUUCUUUCUGAUCAUGUCCUGGCCAUCUGCCUUUGCCCUGAGACCAGCUUUCCUUGCUGCCUUCCCUCUCUGCAGCUCAUUGUUGCUGGCAUGUCCCAUCAGGCUGGCAACAUUUGCAAAAUGAAAAUGUCUUCUACCACAUUUUUCAGUUUUGUCACCAAAAUCUGACAGAGCCAAGAAUAUGAAGCUGCUUCUGCUGCCCCGUGUGUGCUCGGUGACCUGAAGGCAACCUAGCCAAGGCUCUCCUGAGCAGUUCCCAAGCCAUUCUUGCUCUCAUGCUUUGCUGCUCCAGGAAGAAAGGGCAGUUCUUGGAUCACCACAGCCUGCUUGACUUCUCCAAUCUCAAAUUAUUCUGCUUCUGACAUAGGUAGCAGGCUAGCAGCUGGCACUUGUGAUUGCUGAGGAGGGAUUGUUUUCAGGACAUGUGAGAAAAGAAGAGACUGACAGUGCAGAUGGAAAGGAAGAAAAUGCCAAGUGAUUAAACAGCUGUAGAUGAAUGGAGAUGCAGCUUAAGAGAUUGACUGUUGCCUGCUGAGUGGAGAGAUGGAAGGAAAGAUUGCGUUCACAUGCACCGGGGUUGCAAAUCCCACCCCUCCCCCCGCAGAUCUUAAAUUGUGUUUGUUACUUGUUUUGAGCCUUCUCGUGUAUAAACCUUCACACAGCUCUGUACUGCACCUUUAUAGCCCCAGCUACUAUUUCUACCUCCCAGAACCUCUGACCUUGUUUUCUGGGCAGAGAUCCUAUAAAAUAAAACUUACGCAGUCAAACAA
Long non-coding RNA from Gallus gallus (chicken), 4014 nucleotides. RefSeq lists it as uncharacterized. NCBI's taxonomy places the organism in Eukaryota, Metazoa, Chordata, Aves, Galliformes, Phasianidae. The record is from RefSeq and is a predicted model, not a curated record. The transcript has 3 exons.